This 834-nucleotide long non-coding RNA is filed under the name Anser brachyrhynchus (Pink-footed goose). RNAcentral's name for it is "lncRNA (ENSABRG00000013514.1)". The record is from RNAcentral. Lineage: Eukaryota; Metazoa; Chordata; Aves; Anseriformes; Anatidae.
UUUACAGCAUGUUCCAGCUCCGGGCUGCUGAGGAGGGGCGGCAGUGCCAGGAUCGAGCACGUGCAUGUGGCCGAGUGACUGCGCAGGGGUGUCGGAGGGGGCAGCGGGUCCCUCGGGAUCACCGGCCGUAGGCUGGAAGGAGGGGUUUGCCGGCGAGGAAUUACGUUCUGUUACUGGAAGCAAGUGCUGCUCAGCAAAGCGCCGUGAGGCAGAACUGAGGAACCUGCUGGAUGGUAGGGGAAAAAAAUGCAUUGGAUUCUUUGAAUGCUGCUAAAUGGAAACCGUGCCCACACCAUUACGAGUUGCAGCAGCAGGAGGUGGCACAGCCCUCCUGCUGGUCCUGCAGAACGCUCUGCCACCAGGAGCCAACGAGAGGUGGGUGCCCCCCGGGCGCUUCUGCUCCCAGCGCUUUGCGUUUAUUCGUGUGGCUCCAAGCAGCGGGUGCGGGAGCGCAGCCCCUGCCCGUGCGCGGCUUGCUGGCUCCCUGCCGCGCCUCUGGAGCCAGCUGCAGCGGCCGAGCUGCUGAGCACAACGGUGCAGCCAGCCAGGCCUGCAGGCACAGCCCUCAGCUUGGGCCUGCAUCGCAAGGGCUCUUUUCCCUGCUCAUCAGCCAGGUGGUGUUCCCCAGCUGAGGCCAGUCCUGGCUCUCCGGGAGCGCUGUGCAGCACCCAGCAAUGGGGUGAUCGCUGCUUGUGCUCUCGGAGAUGAGAAAGGGCCUGAGCAAGGCACGCAGCCUCGACUCAGAAAGGCUGCAGCCAUUCACAGGCUGAAGGUAAGGGAGCGUGAAGAAAGAUAAGGAGGUAAAAUGAGAAUAAAAUGAAGGUGGUAGACGCA